CGGCACAAGUGGUAGUCGGGUUUUAUUGGGCCUAAAGCGUUCGUAGCCGGGCAUUCAAGUCCUUGGGUAAAUUCGGCAGCUCAACUGUCGGAAUUCCGAGGAUACUGUUUGUCUUGAGGUCGGGUGAAGGUGUGGGCACUUCUGGAGUAGGGGUGAAAUCUUCUGAUUCCAGGGGGACCGCCUGUGGUGAAAACGCACACUUAGAACGAGCCUGACGGUGAGGAACGAAACCCAGGGGAGCGAACGGGAUUAGAUACCCCGGUAGUCCUGGGCGUAAACGAUGUCCGUUUGGUGUUGCACACUCUACGUGGGUGUGCAGUGCCGUAGCGUANGCGUUAAACGGACCGCCUGGGGAGUAUGACUGCAAGGUUGAAACUUAAAGGAAUUGACGGGGGAGCACCNCAAGGGGUUGGAGGCUGCGGUUUAAUUGGAUUCAACGCCGGAAAUCUCACUGGGCGUUGACAGCAGUAUGAUGUUCAAGCUGACGACUUUAACUGACCCGCUGAGAAGAAGUUCAUGGCCGCCGCCACUCCUGCUG
RNAcentral lists this ribosomal RNA (538 nucleotides) under uncultured bacterium. RNAcentral describes it as "bacterial SSU rRNA". It matches the Rfam family "Archaeal small subunit ribosomal RNA", at positions 480 to 1016 of the family's 1478-position model. The record is from RNAcentral.